AUGGAGAGGGACCCAGGAGAGCAAGGGCCUCUCACUGAGAGGUUUUUGUAUGAGUCUGUGUCACAGUGUUAUGUGUUCGGCGGAGGGACCCAGCUGACCGUCCUAGGUCAGCCCAAGUCUGCACCCUCCGUGUCUCUGUUCCCGCCAUCCGCUGAGGAGCUCGCCAACAACAAGGCCACACUGGUGUGUCUCAUGAGUGACUUCUACCCGGGCAGCGUGACGGUGGCCUGGAAGGCAAAUGGCAGCCCCGUCACCCAGGGCGUGGAGACCACCAAGCCCUCCAAGCAGAGCAACAACAAGUACGCGGCCAGCAGCUACCUGAGCGUGUCCAGCCAAGCCUGGAAGUCCGCCAGCGCCUACAGCUGCCAGGCC
This is a non-coding RNA of Myotis davidii, 372 nucleotides long. Lineage: Eukaryota; Metazoa; Chordata; Mammalia; Chiroptera; Vespertilionidae. The record is from the annotation of a RefSeq genome assembly.